This is a non-coding RNA of Mycena floridula, 93 nucleotides long. The record is from the annotation of a GenBank genome assembly. NCBI's taxonomy places the organism in Eukaryota, Fungi, Basidiomycota, Agaricomycetes, Agaricales, Mycenaceae.
GGUUCGAUGGCGUAGUUGGUUAUCGCAUCUGUCUAACAUACGCCAGAACAUGUUCUGCACAGAAGGUCCUCAGUUCGAGCCUGGGUCGAAUCA